UACGAAGGGGGCUAGCGUUGUUCGGAUUUACUGGGCGUAAAGCGCACGUAGGCGGAUCGUUAAGUCGGGGGUGAAAGCCUGUGGCUCAACCACAGAAUUGCCUUCGAUACUGUUUGGCUUGAGACCGGAAGAGGUUAGUGGAACUGCGAGUGUAGAGGUGAAAUUCGUAGAUAUUCGCAAGAACACCAGUGGCGAAGGCGGCUGACUGGUCCGGUUCUGACGCUGAGGCGCGAAAGCGUGGGGAGCAAACAGG
Molecule: ribosomal RNA, 253 nt
Filed under: uncultured bacterium
Lineage: Bacteria
Description: partial 16S ribosomal RNA
Rfam family: Bacterial small subunit ribosomal RNA
Source: RNAcentral